Molecule: small nucleolar RNA, 80 nt
Organism: Camelus dromedarius (Arabian camel)
Lineage: Eukaryota; Metazoa; Chordata; Mammalia; Artiodactyla; Camelidae
Gene: SNORD115
Rfam family: Small nucleolar RNA SNORD115
About the family: HBII-52 is a member of the C/D class of snoRNAs, which contain the C (UGAUGA) and D (CUGA) box motifs.
Source: Ensembl
GGGUCAAUGAUGAGAACACAGAUGGUCUUGAAAAACAAUGAUGACCUGAACUCGUACUGAAUAAAAUUACAUUGAGACCC